AUGGGGACGGAGUACCUGGUCACCGUCACCGCCCAGUACGCCAACAGCAUCGGCGAGUCGGUGUCCGGCCGGGCACGCACCCAGAGCCGUGCCGGCUCCGUGCUGGAUUUCCGUGUGGUGGAGACUGGACCGACCUUCCUACGGCUCGCCUGGCAGCCCGGCCCCGAGCCCCCCCAGGGCUACGGCCUCAGCUACGCCGUGAAAGGAGCAGCCCAAGAGGAGGAGAAGACCCUGGGGGCCAGCGCGCAGUCGGCCACGCUGAGCAACCUGCGCCCCGACACCGAGUACGUGGUGAUGCUCCGGCCCCGCUACGCGCAGCAGCCCAGUGUCCCCGCCACCCUCACUGCCCGGACACGACGCCUGCUGGGUGUGCAGCAUUUGGUUGUCCACAAUGUCUCGGCGCAGAGCAUGCUGCUGGCCUGGCAGCCUGUCAGUGGUGCCACCGGCUACCGGCUCUCCUGGGCAACCCUCGCAGGGCAGGACAGGCACAGGGUGGACCUGGAUGCCAGGCAGACAUCACAUGCGCUGGGGGGGCUGCAGCCCAACACUGACUACGUGGUGACGGUAGCCCCGCUCUUCGGGCAGCUGGAGGGGCCCACAGCCACCGUGAGGCAGAGGACAGAAGCGGGUCUGGAGCAGACACUGAGGACCAACAUCCUGGGCCCCACGUCCAUCCAGGUGCUCUGGACUGGCGCUCGCGAUGCCCGCGGCUACCGCCUGGAAUGGAAGAGAGCCACAGGACCAGAGCCCCCCAGGACAGUGUCGCUCCCCAGCAGUGCCAACACCUACCAGCUGACAGGGCUGCAGCCGGGCACCGAGUACCGCAUCACCCUCUACACGGUCUAUGAUGGUGGGGAGGUGGCCACCCCCGUCACCACCUUCCAGACAGGCGUGGAGGUGCCCGUGGGUGCCGUAUCGGACCUGAGGCUCAUUGAGGAGUCGGGCAGGCGAGUGCGGCUGGGCUGGACCGGCGUCCCCGGUGCCACCGAGUACAAAGUGGUGGUGCGCAACAGCCAAGAUGGCACGGAGAGGACAAGGCGCAUCCCGGGAAGCCAGACGGGGCUGGAGCUGGGUGACCUCCGGGAGGGCAUCGCCUACCUGGUGCGUGUCUCGGCACUAGUGGGUGGCCGGGAGGGCAGUCCUGCCACGCUGACCGUCCGCCUCAAGUACCCAGCGGUGGGCAGCAUCUCAGAGCUGCGGGUGACGGAGGCUGGUCCCAGCCAGCUGAGGGUUUCCUGGCGAGGGCUGCCGGGCGCCGGGGGCUACCUGCUGACCUGGCGAGGCAGCGAUGGUGUGGAGCAAUCCCGUUUCCUCCCUGCCGACCCCACCACCUUCACCAUCGAGGGGCUGCGUGCCAACAUUGUCUACACCGUCAGCGUCUCGGCCAUUGUGGAUGGCCGUGAGGGCAGCCCUGUCACUGCCACAGGACGGAUAGCCCCUGAGCAGGUGGGGAUGGUGUCCCAGCUGGAGGUACAGGCAUCCAAGAGCAACGUUGCCCGUGUCACCUGGGUCGGUGUGCCAGGAGCCACUGCCUACCGUGUGGUGUGGAGCCGCAGGGACGGGGGCUCGGAGAACAGCCGGCGGGUUCCUGGCAACACCAGCUCCUUCGACAUCCCCGACCUGGAGGGAGGUGUCUCCUACACCGUGAAGGUGACAGCGCUCAUCGGCAACCGGGAGGGCAACCCUGUCUCCAUCAUCGUCACCACCCCGGAGGCAGCCCCACUGCCCCCCGUCAGCAACUUCCAGGUGACGGAGGCCUCAGAGCACCGCCUGCGCCUGGCCUGGGUACCGGCGGCCGGCAGCGCCGGGUACCGCCUGGUCUGGCGCCUGGCUGAGGGGGGCCCCCAGCGCAGCCAGCAGCUCCCGGCCACUGCCAGCUCCUACGACCUGGGGGGGCUGGAGCCAGGACGGCGCUACCACAUCAGCAUCACCAGCCUGGCCAGCGGCCGGGAGAGCCAGCCGGCCACUGUCACUGCCAUCACUGCAGCUGCCCCGGCCCGUGUCACCAGCCUGCAGGUGACAGAUAUACGGAGAGACUCGGUGACACUCACCUGGACCCCUAUCCCUGGUGCCUCUGGCUACAUCCUCUCCUGGAGUCCCCCAGCAGGUGAGAUGGGUGGGUGGCCCCAGGACAUGGAACAGUGUCCUGGCGGGUGCUUGCCAUCCCCCCUGACUCUGUCCCCUGGGUGUCAGCCGGUGGGGAGACGAGGCGGACGCUGCCUGGUGCUGCCAGCUCCCAGCAAGUCUCCGGGCUGCGCCUGGGCCAGCGCUACACCUUCACCCUCCGCCCGCUCCUGGGGAGCACACCGGGCGCUGAGACCUCCGUCAGCGAGCGCACAGUCUGCAGGGAUGCCCGCGGUGACAUCGUCUUCCUGGUGCACGGCACACGCGACAGCUCCUCCGGUGCUGAUGCCAUCCGCACCCUCCUCUCCAACACCGUGUCUGCCUUGGGGCGCCUGGGCCCUGAGGGCACCCAGGUGGCUCUGGCCACGUACAGCUACCGCAGCCUGCCCUGGCUGCUCCUCAACCGCUCCAGUGACCUGCCCACCGUGCUGGAGCAGAUCCGCACCAUACGCUAUGAGGAACCCAGCGGCAACGCCAUCGGGGCAGCCAUCACCUUUGCCAGGACCUACUUAUUGA
This 2640-nucleotide long non-coding RNA is filed under the name Calidris pugnax (ruff). RNAcentral describes it as "lncRNA (ENSCPUG00000016948.1)". The record is from RNAcentral. Lineage: Eukaryota; Metazoa; Chordata; Aves; Charadriiformes; Scolopacidae.